UACGUAGGGGGCAAGCGUUGUCCGGAUUUAUUGGGCGUAAAGAGCGUGUAGGCGGCUUGGUAGGUCCGCUGUGAAAACUCGAGGCUCAACCUCGAGAUGUCGGCGGAAACCACUUGGCUAGAGUCCGGAAGAGGAGAGUGGAAUUCCCGGUGUAGCGGUGAAAUGCGCAGAUAUCAGGAAGAACACCCGUGGCGAAGGCGGCUCUCUGGGACGGUACUGACGCUGAGACGCGAAAGCGUGGGGAGCGAACAGG
RNAcentral lists this ribosomal RNA (253 nucleotides) under uncultured bacterium. RNAcentral describes it as "partial 16S ribosomal RNA". It matches the Rfam family "Bacterial small subunit ribosomal RNA", at positions 524 to 776 of the family's 1533-position model. The record is from RNAcentral.